AAGCCAUGGAGAAUCAAGUCUCU
RNAcentral lists this small nuclear RNA (23 nucleotides) under Arabidopsis thaliana (thale cress). RNAcentral's name for it is "snRNA_13928". The record is from RNAcentral. Lineage: Eukaryota; Viridiplantae; Streptophyta; Magnoliopsida; Brassicales; Brassicaceae.